GGGUUGUGAGGUUAAGCGAACAAGCGUACACGGUGGAUGCCCUGGCAGUCAGAGGCGAUGAAGGACGUGCUAAUCUGCGAAAAGCGCCGGUAAGGUGAUAUGAACCGUUAUAACCGGCGAUGUCCGAAUGGGGAAACCCGGUGCACUUCGGUGCAUCAUCGUUAGCUGAAUACAUAGGCUAACGAGGCGAACCGGGGGAACUGAAACAUCUAAGUACCCCGAGGAAAAGAAAUCAACCGAGAUUCCCCCAGUAGCGGCGAGCGAACGGGGAACAGCCCAGAGCCUGAAUCAGCUUGUGUGUCAGUGGAACGGUCUGGAAAGGCCGGCGAUACAGGGUGACAGCCCCGUACACGAAGGCACACAGGCUGUGAGCUCGAUGAGUAGGGCGGGACACGUGAUAUCCUGUCUGAAGAUGGGGGGACCAUCCUCCAAGGCUAAAUACUCCUGACUGACCGAUAGUGAACCAGUACCGUGAGGGAAAGGCGAAAAGAACCCCGGCGAGGGGAGUGAAACAGAACCUGAAACCGUGUACGUACAAGCAGUGGGAGCCUUCGUAAGAGGGUGACUGCGUACCUUUUGUAUAAUGGGUCAGCGACUUAUAUUCUGUAGCAAGGUUAACCGUAUAGGGGAGCCGAAGGGAAACCGAGUCUUAAUUGGGCGUUAAGUUGCAGGGUAUAGACCCGAAACCCGGUGAUCUAGCCAUGGGCAGGUUGAAGGUUGGGUAACACUAACUGGAGGACCGAACCGACUAAUGUUGAAAAAUUAGCGGAUGACCUGUGGCUGGGGGUGAAAGGCCAAUCAAACCGGGAGAUAGCUGGUUCUCCCCGAAAGCUAUUUAGGUAGCGCCUCGUGAACUCAUCUCCGGGGGUAGAGCACUGUUUCGGCUAGGGGGCCAUCCCGGCUUACCAACCCGAUGCAAACUGCGAAUACCGGAGAAUGUUAUCACGGGAGACACACGGCGGGUGCUAACGUCCGUCGUGAAGAGGGAAACAACCCAGACCGCCAGCUAAGGUCCCAAAGUCAUGGUUAAGUGGGAAACGAUGUGGGAAGGCCCAGACAGCCAGGAUGUUGGCUUAGAAGCAGCCAUCAUUUAAAGAAAGCGUAAUAGCUCACUGGUCGAGUCGGCCUGCGCGGAAGAUGUAACGGGGCUAAACCAUGCACCGAAGCUGCGGCAGCGACACUAUGUGUUGUUGGGUAGGGGAGCGUUCUGUAAGCCUGUGAAGGUGUGCUGUGAGGCAUGCUGGAGGUAUCAGAAGUGCGAAUGCUGACAUAAGUAACGAUAAAGCGGGUGAAAAGCCCGCUCGCCGGAAGACCAAGGGUUCCUGUCCAACGUUAAUCGGGGCAGGGUGAGUCGACCCCUAAGGCGAGGCCGAAAGGCGUAGUCGAUGGGAAACAGGUUAAUAUUCCUGUACUUGGUGUUACUGCGAAGGGGGGACGGAGAAGGCUAUGUCAGCCGGGCGACGGUCGUCCCGGUUUAAGCGUGUAGGCUGACUUUCCAGGCAAAUCCGGAAAGUUAAGGCUGAGGCGUGAUGACGAGGCACCACGGUGCUGAAGUGACAAAUGCCCUGCUUCCAGGAAAAGCCUCUAAGCAUCAGGUAACAUCAAAUCGUACCCCAAACCGACACAGGUGGUCAGGUAGAGAAUACCAAGGCGCUUGAGAGAACUCGGGUGAAGGAACUAGGCAAAAUGGUGCCGUAACUUCGGGAGAAGGCACGCUGACAUGUAGGUGAAGCCCCUGCGGGUGGAGCUGAAGUCAGUCGAAGAUACCAGCUGGCUGCAACUGUUUAUUAAAAACACAGCACUGUGCAAACACGAAAGUGGACGUAUACGGUGUGACGCCUGCCCGGUGCCGGAAGGUUAAUUGAUGGGGUUAUCGCAAGAGAAGCUCCUGAUCGAAGCCCCGGUAAACGGCGGCCGUAACUAUAACGGUCCUAAGGUAGCGAAAUUCCUUGUCGGGUAAGUUCCGACCUGCACGAAUGGCGUAAUGAUGGCCAGGCUGUCUCCACCCGAGACUCAGUGAAAUUGAACUCGCUGUGAAGAUGCAGUGUACCCGCGGCAAGACGGAAAGACCCCGUGAACCUUUACUACAGCUUGACACUGAACAUUGAGCCUUGAUGUGUAGGAUAGGUGGGAGGCUUUGAAGCGUGGACGCCAGUCUGCGUGGAGCCAACCUUGAAAUACCACCCUUUAAUGUUUGAUGUUCUAACCUGGCGCCGUGAUCCGGCGUGGGGACAGUGUCUGGUGGGUAGUUUGACUGGGGCGGUCUCCUCCCAAAGUGUAACGGAGGAGCACGAAGGUCAGCUAAUCCUGGUCGGACAUCAGGAGGUUAGUGCAAUGGCAUAAGCUGGCUUGACUGCGAGAGUGACGGCUCGAGCAGGUGCGAAAGCAGGUCAUAGUGAUCCGGUGGUUCUGUAUGGAAGGGCCAUCGCUCAACGGAUAAAAGGUACUCCGGGGAUAACAGGCUGAUACCGCCCAAGAGUUCAUAUCGACGGCGGUGUUUGGCACCUCGAUGUCGGCUCAUCACAUCCUGGGGCUGAAGUAGGUCCCAAGGGUAUGGCUGUUCGCCAUUUAAAGUGGUACGCGAGCUGGGUUUAGAACGUCGUGAGACAGUUCGGUCCCUAUCUGCCGUGGGCGCUGGAGAAUUGAGGGGGGCUGCUCCCAGUACGAGAGGACCGGAGUGGACGCAUCACUGGUGUUCGGGUUGUCAUGCCAAUGGCACUGCCCGGUAGCUAAAUGCGGAAGAGAUAAGUGCUGAAAGCAUCUAAGCACGAAACUUGCCCCGAGAUGAGUUCUCCCUGAGACUAUAAGUCUCCUGAAGGAACGUUGAAGACGACGACGUUGAUAGGCCGGGUGUGUAAGCGCAGCGAUGCGUUGAGCUAACCGGUACUAAUGAACCGUGAGGCUUAACCUUACAACGCCAAAGAAGU
RNAcentral lists this ribosomal RNA (2927 nucleotides) under Cronobacter malonaticus. RNAcentral describes it as "23S ribosomal RNA". It matches the Rfam family "Bacterial large subunit ribosomal RNA". The record is from RNAcentral. Lineage: Bacteria; Pseudomonadati; Pseudomonadota; Gammaproteobacteria; Enterobacterales; Enterobacteriaceae.